UCUUCGGAUUCCUAUUGGAGGUAAUUGUUGACUCUUCGUUUUGGAGAGCAGGUCCGUCGGUUGAGUGCGUCUUUCCCUUCGGUGGUGUGUGGCGAUUUUCUCGGCUGUGUGGAGCGUAACGGAUAUAUCUCGGCGGUCGGCGCAUUGAUGGCAGAGGGUGGCGUGUCUCAGCUUCGACAGGAGAGGUCUGCUAGGGUGGCAGAUCGAGCAAAAUAGGUUAGGGAAGCACCUUCGAUGGCGUGCUCGUACCAACUACCUAAUGAUGAUGAUGAUUUUGUUGAAGGUCCGGCUAUUUUUUUCGAAAGGACGCGGUAGGACCCUCUAUGGGAUUCUCCGGAUACUGAUCUAAUCGUGGAGGAGCUGGUCCGACUGCUUUUCUAGAAAGUUUAUGGUUUUUGUGUAAUAUAUCUAAACCCCGUUCGUAAGUCAUGAUAGCAGUUUAAAGAGCAUUGAAAUGUUAUUAUUUAUUCAUGGCUAAAUGUAAUUGAAAUUCGAAA
Molecule: long non-coding RNA, 497 nt
Organism: Ipomoea triloba (trilobed morning glory)
Lineage: Eukaryota; Viridiplantae; Streptophyta; Magnoliopsida; Solanales; Convolvulaceae
Exons: 2
Source: RefSeq, a predicted model, not a curated record